ACUCAACCUUUUAGAGUUUCCAGCCCUACCUAAACACAGUGUGCACUGUACCUUUCAUGCCUCCAGCUAGCCACCUGAAUGACCUCGAACAGAAAACGCCCCACCAUCUAAACCACUGGACACCUGAAGAUGACCAUCUUGAACCAAGGAAUGUAUUAUUCCAAGACAAAAAAAUGGAUUCUAGGUUCCAACUUUCUCAUCAAAACUCUUCAUCAACAAACAAGCUCCGCUGCCUGCUGUGUACACAGAACAUACCUGGGGCAGCGAGCAUCCAGCGUCGGUUAUGCCUGCUGUGCUUACUGCACAGUAUUUAAGUCUCCGUGAAAAUGUCACCCCCAACCCUAGAGUACCGCCUUCUCUCUCACAGCCAGUAAGUCUCAUACCACCAACAGCAAUCAACAGAGAAAACGGCACUCGUGGUUACACGUGAAAUAACUAUUUUAUCCCAUUCCUUAUCACAAGUUGUAAGAGUGUUUUACAGUAAAACAUCUAAUAAAAUUGCAUUUUCUAUCUAAAAUGUCAAAAAGCUACAUGUCCUUUGACUCAGCAGUUCCGCUUCUAAGACUGCAUCCUAAGGAAACACUCACAUGAGGAAGUACGUGCAAGGAUGUGUCUGUAGCACGGAAAGACCGGAGCACCAAAGACAACCCAGAAACCAGGAGGGGGCUGCUAAACUGUGGGUAUUCAUAGGCUGGAAUGCCAUGCAGCUAUUAUAAAUAAGGCAGACCUACAGAUAUUAAUAAGACAUAGUAUCCAAGAUAUGUUGUCAAGUAAAAAACCCAAUUUAUAAAACAGUAUGCUAACAUUUAUGUAGAAAAAAACAAAAAUAUACACAAGUACGCAUUAUCUCCGAAGGACGAUGAAUUAGUAGAGAGCACAAAUGAGGUCAGUAAAAUGAAGACCUCUCACUGAAUAUACCCCACAAACCAUGUUGUUCUUUAAAAAAUUGUUUUUACUAUGUGCAUUUUUUUAAUAUAAAGAGACGAUAUGGAUUGCCUUCUUUUUUAUCCAAUUACUCUCAAUAUUAUUUUGUACUGAUUUCAAGUGUACAGCAUAGUGGUUAGACAAUCAUAUACUUCACAAAGUGGCCCGGUACUUCCAAUAUCCACCUGGCACUGUACACAGGUAUUGCAAUAAUAUUGGAAAAUUAUUGACCAUAUUCCCUACGCUGUACUUUAUAUCCUUGACUGUUUUGUAACUACCGAUUUUUAUUUCUUUACUCUCUCACCUCUCCCACCCAGCCCCAGCCCCCCUCCCCUCUGACAGCUGUCUCUGUUCUCAGUGUCUGUGAGUUUGCUUCAGUUUUGUUGAUUUUGUUCUUUAGAUUCCACAUAUAAGUGAAAUCAUAUGGUAUUUGUCUUUCUCUGACUUAUUUCACUGAGCAAAACACCCUCUAGGUCCACCCAUGCUGCCGCAAAUGGUUGGAUUUGCCUCUUUUAAGUUUUUUUACAGGUAGAAGUAACAAAUUAUUAUUACUUUUGUAAAAGAUUUUAUUUAUUUAUCUUUAGAGGGGAAGGGAAGGAGAGAACUAUCAAUGUAUGGUUGCCUCUCGUGGGUCCCCUGCUGGGAACUGGCCUGCAACCCAGGCAUGUGUCCCGACUGGGAGUCGAACCGUGAUCAUGUGGUUCACAGGCCCGCACUCAAUCCACUGAGCUACACCAGCCAGGACACAAAUUAUUUUUAAUUAGCAAAAAACAUGUAUAAAACACUUUGAACUUGUAUAAAUGAAUGAGUAACAGAAAACCAUAAAACCAUAAUUUCAAGAGUUUCUCUAAUAAUGUAGUCCUAAGAGAAACACGUUGUAAGGAAAAAAUUAAUAAACUAAAGAAUUCUAGGAAAACAAAGACUAAACAUUUAAAAACUGAGAGUUCUGACCUGGCUGGUGUGGCUCAGUGGAUUGAGUGCCGGCCUGCAAACCAAAGGGUUGUGGGUUCAAUUCCCAGUCAGGGAAUGGGGGUUGCGGGCUAGGCCCCCAGUGAGAGGCGUGUGAGAGGCGACCACACACUGUUACUUCGCUCUCUUCUCUGUCUCCCUCCCUUCCCCUCGGUGUAAAAAUAAAUAAAUAAAAUCUUUUUAAAAAAACUGAGAGCCCCCCAGCACCCUGAUUGCACACGCCUUCCCUGAGACGUGAAGAGUUCAGUACACACCCUCACCUCAGCAGCGAGAUUCAAACGGCCCAGCCCGACCCCCACUCUCUCCAGUCUGAGACUUGAAUGGAAUAAUCGUCUGUUUGCUCCCAAGGAGGGUAAAGAGGAAAACUGUGGCUUUAGAAUCAUACUUGCUAAGUUAAGUGACUUCAAAUACCUCACUUAACUUCUCUGGGUCCUGAAUUCCCCCUUUCUUCAAAUUCCUACCUUAUUUUCAUUCUCGUGUGUCAUGAUCUCCGGGGGCAGGUCUGCACUGCCAGUGCUGAAUCUGGGUCCACUCAAGUACUUGGUCCCGAUGCUCUCACCCACCCACUGCUCUCUGGGCUCACUUGUGAACAAAACCAUCCACUGCUCUCUGGAUUCGCUUUUUAACAAACACCAGGGACUCUCGCUGAUGAAGCUUCUGUAUUGGACAAUCGGAGACCUGCAGCCUUCCCCUGGCAAGCAUAUACUGCCCUAAGCUUAACUUACUACCACUCUGCCUUAGUGCCCAAAUAGCCAUCCUGUCAAGUUAUGAUUUGGGAGUUUCAUCUGAAUGCAAAGAACUAGAAGCUAAACCCUCAGGAAAGCAUUUCCUGACUCACUCUUAAUUUGGGCUAAAUGGACUUCCUCCAUGUUCUCCCAAGGCUCCAGUGGCUUACCACUCUGACACUGUAAUCUCCAAAUCAUUUAUUCCCCGAUACUAUUGACAGCAAGGCACUUGAAACUAUUUCACUGGUUUUAGAGCUGUAUUCAAUGUUGCAAAGGUGUCCCUAAAAUAGUAAGGUUUACAGAGGAAUGUCUUUACAGUUCUCUAGUUCUUUCCUUCUUUUUUCCUCCCUUUCUCUAUGUAAACAGUCAAAGAUGGUGUUACAUAGGACAGUGAUUUUCAACUGCUGUGCCACAGGAAUUUUAAAAACAUCCAAUAUCUGAGUAUUUAGUCAGGGGCACUGGCCUCUUUUACCUUAGAUUGUCAAAGAAAAUAAUGACAACAGCCAACACAAUAGCCAUUUGGUGUGAAUGAACCAAAAUUAUACCUAUUCUUUUUGUCAGAUUGGCAAACAGUGUAUUUUUUGGUGUGCCACAGUAUUUUAGGAAUUAGUUUAUGUGGCCAUGAGAGGAACAAGGUUGAAAAUUGCUGAUGUAGGAAAAGAACUUUGCAGAAGCGAACAGAAAGGUGUCUGCACGCAGACACAGAAAGGUGAUUAAAUAAAUGUCAACAGGAAUGUUUGAAGUUCACUCUCUCUUGACGCCUCCCUCAGACAAUGCUCAGGGCCAGCCACCUGGCAAGGUAGAAACUGCCAGAAGCGCAGAUCGAGGUGUCCAAAAGUGACACCGAGUGCUUUAGAGAGUUACAAGGAGUUACAUUUUAACAUUCACACUGUGUCCUCAAGAAAAUGUAAAGAUUUUCAGAUACUUCUAAAAUUCCCCUCUUCAUAAAGGUCUACUUUACGGUGAUGGCACUUGCCAUCCUAGAAAACCAGGACCGUCAAUCUAACACCUGUGCUGCACGAGGUGCUCUUCAGGAAGGCAGGCUUCCACCCCUCGGUGACUGGGAGUCGACAAAACUGAAAUAACAGUGGUUCACACAGAGCUCGCUGGGCUCUGAACCCUCUGUGUUUUAAUAAGGAAGAUUACUAGCCACUUUUUAAAAGAUGACAGAUUGGCCCUCGCCGCAUGGUUCAGCUGGUUGGGGCGUGAUCCCAUACACCAAAAAAGGGUGCAGGUUCAAUCCCUGGUCAGGGCAUGCUCAGGAGGCAACUAAUCAGUUUUCUCUCUUUCUCUCUCAAAUAAAUAUAUCCUCAGGUGAAGAUUUUUUAAAAAGAUUAUUCCUGUUUUUCCA
Molecule: long non-coding RNA, 3969 nt
Organism: Artibeus jamaicensis (Jamaican fruit-eating bat)
Lineage: Eukaryota; Metazoa; Chordata; Mammalia; Chiroptera; Phyllostomidae
Exons: 3
Source: RefSeq, a predicted model, not a curated record